GAUGAACGCUGGCGGCGUGCUUAACACAUGCAAGUCGAACGGUGAAGCAGGAGCUUGCUCUUGUGGAUCAGCGGCGAACGGGUGAGUAACACGUGAGCAACCUGCCCCUGACCCUGGGAUAAGCGCUGGAAACGGCGUCUAAUACUGGAUAUGUGAUGUGACCGCAUGGUCUGCAUCUGGAAAGAAUCUCGGUUGGGGAUGGGCGUGCGGCCUAUCAGCUUGUUGGUGAGGUAAUGGCUCACCAAGGCGUCGACGGGUAGCCGGCAUGAGAGGGUGACCGGCCACACUGGGACUGAGACACGGCCCAGACUCCUACGGGAGGCAGCAGUGGGGAAUAUUGCACAAUGGGCGGAAGCCUGAUGCAGCAACGCCGCGUGAGGGAUGACGGCCUUCGGGUUGUAAACCUCUUUUAGCAGGGAAGAAGCGAAAGUGACGGUACCUGCAGAAAAAGCACCGGCUAACUACGUGCCAGCCGCCGCUGUAA
This 484-nucleotide ribosomal RNA is filed under the name uncultured bacterium. Its description in RNAcentral is "partial 16S ribosomal RNA". It matches the Rfam family "Bacterial small subunit ribosomal RNA", at positions 28 to 523 of the family's 1533-position model. The record is from RNAcentral.